UCUGGUGGUAAUAGCGAAGAGGUCACACCUGUUCCCAUGCCGAACACAGUAGUUAAGCUCUUCAGCGCCGAUGGUAGUUGGGUUCGCCCCGUGAGAGUAGGACACUGCCAGGC
Ribosomal RNA from Terribacillus aidingensis, 113 nucleotides. The record is from Rfam. NCBI's taxonomy places the organism in Bacteria, Bacillati, Bacillota, Bacilli, Caryophanales, Bacillaceae.